Molecule: non-coding RNA, 182 nt
Organism: Oryza glaberrima (African rice)
Lineage: Eukaryota; Viridiplantae; Streptophyta; Magnoliopsida; Poales; Poaceae
Source: Rfam
AGUAAGUGUAGGUUUACACUAUUUAUCUUCAAUCUUUGAUCGUUCGUUUUAUUUGAAGAACUUUUAUGAUAAAAUAUGAAUAGUAAUUUAUGUGUAACUAAUUUUUUUAAAAUUUUUCAUAAAUUUUUUAAAUGAGACGGAUGGUCAAACGUUGGACACGGAUUUUCACGGCUGCACUUAUU